RNAcentral lists this ribosomal RNA (403 nucleotides) under uncultured bacterium. RNAcentral's name for it is "partial 16S ribosomal RNA". It matches the Rfam family "Bacterial small subunit ribosomal RNA", at positions 30 to 526 of the family's 1533-position model. The record is from RNAcentral.
AUUGAACGCUGGCGGCAGGCCUAACACAUGCAAGUCGAGCGAGCGGCGGACGGGUGAGUAAUGUAUGGGGACUGCCCGAUAGAGGGGGAUAACUACUGGAAACGGUAGCUAAUACCGCAUACUCUCGGCUACCCCAUAUGGGAUUAGCUAGUGGGUGAGGUAAUGGCUCACCUAGGCGACGAUCCCUAGCUGGUCUGAGAGGAUGAUCAGCCACACGGGGACUGAGAGACGGCCCAGAAUCCUACGGAGGCAGCAGUGGGGAAUAUUGCACAAGGGGCGCAAGCCUGAUGCAGCAAUGCCGCGUGUAUGAAGAAGGCCCUAGGGUUGUAAAGUACUUUCAGUCGGGAGGCGUUACCGACAGAAGAAGCACCGGCUAACUCCGUGCCAGCAGCCGCGGUAAUUC